GGUGAGUCCUUUGAAAUGUACUGAACUGUACUCUCUCUUUGCUCGAAAAGCGUGGCGUUGCUGGUUGUGGAGGCUGCCCGUGUGGCCAGUCGGCGACCGGUUCGUUAGCUGUGGCGUUUAAUGGA
Molecule: ribosomal RNA, 125 nt
Filed under: Phytophthora lacustris
Lineage: Eukaryota; Oomycota; Peronosporomycetes; Peronosporales; Peronosporaceae
Description: partial 5.8S ribosomal RNA
Source: RNAcentral